AAAAAGUUCAGUUUUUAGUUUUUAUAUAAUGUUUGGCUCUUCGUUUUAUUUGAAAAAGUUUUACGAUUAAUAUUUUUAUUGUUGUUAAAUUAUAAAACAUGAAUAGUAUUUUAUAUGUGACUAAUUUUUUUUUUGCUUUUCUAUAUCUUUUUUAAAUAAGACGGACAAUCAAAGGUUAGACACAGAAAUCCAAAAAUAAACUUGUU
This 206-nucleotide microRNA precursor is filed under the name Oryza sativa Indica Group (long-grained rice). RNAcentral describes it as "MIR812 microRNA precursor family". It matches the Rfam family "MIR812 microRNA precursor family". Lineage: Eukaryota; Viridiplantae; Streptophyta; Magnoliopsida; Poales; Poaceae. The record is from Rfam by way of RNAcentral.